This 460-nucleotide ribosomal RNA is filed under the name uncultured bacterium. RNAcentral describes it as "partial 16S ribosomal RNA". It matches the Rfam family "Bacterial small subunit ribosomal RNA", at positions 338 to 795 of the family's 1533-position model. The record is from RNAcentral.
CCUACGGGCGGCAGCAGUGAGGAAUAUUGGUCAAUGGGCGCGAGCCUGAACCAGCCAAGUAGCGUGAAGGAUGACUGCCCUACGGGUUGUAAACUUCUUUUAUAAAGGAAUAAAGUGAGGCACGUGUGCCUUUUUGUAUGUACUUUCUGAAUAAGGAUCGGCUAACUCCGUGCCAGCAGCCGCGGUAAUACGGAGGAUGCGAGCGUUAUCCGGAUUUAUUGGGUUUAAAGGGUGCGUAGGUUGUUUUUUAAGUCAGCGGUGAAAGUUUGUGGCUCAACCAUAAAAUUGCCGUUGAAACUGGAAGACUUGAGUGUGUUUGAGGUAGGCGGAAUGCGUGGUGUAGCGGUGAAAUGCUUAGAUAUCACGAAGAACUCCGAUUGCGAAGGCAGCUUACUAAACUGCCACUGACAUUGAUGCUCGAAAGUGUGGGUAUCAAACAGGAUUAGAUACCCUAGUAGUC